This 503-nucleotide long non-coding RNA is filed under the name Homo sapiens (human). Its description in RNAcentral is "HSALNT0092594". The record is from RNAcentral. Lineage: Eukaryota; Metazoa; Chordata; Mammalia; Primates; Hominidae.
CAGACCUAGCCUGUAGACAGGAGGAUUGGAGAAAAAGUGGGGAAGGGAGGAGGAGGCGGCACUGUUCCAAGCCCUGGGCUGCUGGAAGACUCAAAGUGAACCAGGUGAAGGAGGUGUCUGGUUGGCUUGUGGGAAAAUAAAACAUUAAGCAGGAUCUGGACUGAGAGUUACAGAAAAGAGGACCUAUGAAAAUGCAACACCAUGGCAGCCAGCAGAGUGGAGUUCAGAUGGGCUCCAGGAGGCGGGGCCAGGCAGUAUGAAGAGGACUGCACCGUCCUGGAUCUGUUACUUAGCACUUCUAUGAAUCAACUGACAGCCACUGGGCAGGAGUGGUCAGCUUUAGUAACCAUGAUGGCAACAGAGAAAUAAAGAAUCCAUUAUCAUUGCUGACUGUGCUGUGAUGACGGACUGUUGUGCAGACUCAGGCAGCUCACUCGGGGCUGGGCAGCAGACAGUGAUUAUCGUCACCCCCUGCUUUCAUCCAUUACGGCGGGUGUUAGCAG